Long non-coding RNA from Cavia porcellus (domestic guinea pig), 3214 nucleotides. RefSeq lists it as uncharacterized. The transcript has 3 exons. The record is from RefSeq and is a predicted model, not a curated record. NCBI's taxonomy places the organism in Eukaryota, Metazoa, Chordata, Mammalia, Rodentia, Caviidae.
GGCAAUACAUAAAAUUAGAUACAAGUGGAUCUAGGAAUGGAACAUAAAUGUUGAUAAAUAUUUUUCAUUCGCAGGGCAUGGUGGCACACACCUGUAACCCCAGCAUUCAGCAGGCUGAGGCAGGAUAGAAGUGAGUUCAGGGCUGUUCUGAGCCACAGAGUAAGACUCUGUUUCAAAAAAAAAAUUCAGAAACUUCAGUAGAAGCUCAGUGUGCAGGAGUGACUUGGGCACGGGUGACAGACUUGGCACUUUAUUAUUUAUUUAACACCUAUUUACUGCUGUGUUCCAGCUGCUGUCCUAAUCACUUGGCAUAGUGCACCGAGCAAAACAGACAAACACUAAUAUCUACAGAGGAUUCCAUUCUGAGCUCUAGUGAGCCAUCAAUGUAGCUCAGGCCCACUGCUGGCCCAUGCUUGGUUUUGUUUUUGUUUGUUUGUUUUCUUGUUUUUAGAACAGGGUUUCACUAUGCAGCCCAGGUUGGCCUCAAACUCAGGAUUCCUCCUGCCUCAGCCUCCAGACUGCUGGGAUUACAGGUGUGAGCCACCAUGCCCGGCUGGCCCAAAUGCUUGGAUCCCAAAAUGUUUGUUGAAUAGACAAGAAAAUACUAAGAUGGUGAGGCAGAGGAUGAGAGGAAUUUGAAUCUCUGGAAAGCCUAGAUCCAGAAGAAAAAGAGGAACCUACUCUAAUAAAAAUUAGUAUUUCUUUGUUUUGAGACAGGGUCUUACUCAGGCUGGUCUCAAACUCCUGGGCUCAAGUGAUCCUCCCACCUCAAGCAUCAGUGCUUGGCGAGAAAACAGACCCCUGUUGAGGUCUCUGGGCCUGGAAGCUGAGACACUUAGACGACUGUAUCACUCAGAGGGCACGGAAGAGCUGGUGAGAUGGCUGUAGAUGGGUUGAGGUCUGCAGGAGGAGUGGAUGGCAUCUGCUGGGCAAAACCAAUUUUACACUAGAAACAGAAAACAUUACUGGUUUGUUAAUUACAGCAUUCAUAGGAUUAGAUUUACCUUUGGGUGUGCGAGCAGUAACCCAUGCUUUAAACAAACAACUCCAUCAUGCCACAAGAAUUAGCAGCAACAAUAGGCAUCUUCUUAGAACUACACUGACAGGUGGCCCGCAACGCACAGCCCCUGUCUGACCUGCAGCAGGGCCUGUAUGCCACACCUCUGCGAAGAGCCAGCCCACAGGAGCAGGGACACAAAGUAACACAUUCUUCUGUGGGGUAUUUGUUGAGAACUUGUUCUGUACGGGGCACUGAGAGGAGCACAGAGAAGAGGUGAGAGAAGCAUAAGAGACCUGGAUACCUACAGUCCGAUGAAUGGAGGAGACAAGAUUAACAAGUUAGCAGCACACAAACACACACACAAAAUACAUGUCACAUCCAAAGGGCGGAUGCACAGAGCCAAAUGGGAUUUAUGGGCAGAGAGUCCCCACCAGAAGGGUGGGAAGGGGCAUGACGUGGUGGGGUCAGUGUUACCUGGGAGACUGAUGCCAGGACACACUACCACACUUCUUUUAAAAGACGUGGGAGGUCUGGAGAUGUGGGUCAAUUGGCAGACUGCUUGCCUAGUAUGUGUAAGGCCUUGGGUUUGAUCCCUGGCACCACACAUACACAAGUACACAAAACACAAGAAACAUGGAUUUGUUUUUGUUUUUUUAGAGUUUCAGGGAUCGAACUGAGGACCUUGUACUUGCCAGGCAGGCACUUAUAAUGCUGAGCCAUAUCCCCAGCCCCUGAGUUAUAUCCCUAGCCUUGCAGGAAAGAUGAAAAAAAUACGAAAUUAUGUCAAAGAUGUGUAUUGUUACUAUUUAGGUUGUAUUUUUUAAGUUUUUUACCCCUACGUAUAGGUGUAUACAUAUUCAUGUGUAUAGUUUUUACGUAAAUGAGUUCACACCAUAUCUAUUAUCCUAUGUUUUGUUUUUAUGUAUUUAACAGUAAGUUUUGAACAUUUUUCUUUGUCGAUAAACUUUUUAUGGAGAUGUCAGAUUUCACUAAUUCUAUAUUUUGCCACUUCAGGUUAGUAAUGAUUAUGGUUAUUUUUUUCCUUUGGGAAUGCAAUAAAACCUUGGGUUGUAGGUGUAACUUCACCUGUGAAUGUUCCACAAGAUGAGCAAAUGUUUCUAAAAGAUUUUAACAUGAUAAAUGAGCAGUGUCUUGCCAUAUGAGUAGUAUGGCACGCUGAAGGUUGCAUGAUCACAACUGGUUCUCCUCUCUUUCUCUUGUUGCUUUGAUGUACAAGUGCUUUGGAUUAUGAGCAGAAAGUUUUGCUGUAGUCUUUUUUCCCCCCAGUACUGGGAAUUGAACCCAGAGCCUUCACACUGAGCUAUAUCCUGGGCUCUGCCUUCUUUUUAUAUUUUUAAUUUUGUCCCACUAAGUCACUGAAUUGCCCACACUGGGCUCAGAUGUGGAAUCUUCCCAGAGUGCACGAUCAAGCCCAGCUGUACUUCCUCUGUAUAGAGAAUAGCUGUAUCAAAGAGUAUACAUAGCUUCAAGAUUUUGAUACCAAUUGUUCAUAUCAGUUUAGAGUCCCACCAUGAUCUAAGAAGCAUGUCCUUUUCACUUUAUACUUCCAAACUUUAGGUAUAAACACUUAAGAAAAAUGCAAGUUUGAUAGAAAAGCUUUCUUUUGGACUUUCUUACUUGUUUCUUUUUUUUGAGACAGGGUCUCGCUGUGCAGUUCAGGCUACCUUGAAUUCACUUUGAAGCUGGAGCUGGCCUUAAAACUCCCAAAGAUCCUCUUGCAUCAGCCUUCUGAGUACUGGGGUUACAGUGACUUUUAAAGGAUCUUUCUUCUUGAGGAGUAAUGAGGAUACAGCUACAAAUCCUCAGCAUAACUCUUAGUGAACUCUCAUGGUCACAACCUGCAGGGAGAAAAAUGCAGCCUGAGAUCAUCGCUGUAUCUCUGCACCCCAGCUGUGGUGAUCACCCUGACCAGACCCAGUCAGCAUCAAGGUGGUUGGUUGCUUCCUUCCUAGUCUAUCUGGAGCAAGACAAUAAACAAGAAACGACUCCUCUCUGAGUGUGAGGGGCCAGCCUGCCAAAGAUGCCCACUUGCUGCUGCUGUCACUGUACUGCCCAGGUGUUGCACACUGGAUUCCUUUCAGAAAGAGCUAGCAAUGCUUGGUGCCUGUGGGUGGGAAUUUGGUGGGCUCUGCUCUCUGGGCAGUCUCCUCUGGGGGCUUUGGUUGGUUGUGCAAUAAAAUGGCCAUGAUCACA